AGUGAACGCUGGCGGUAGGCCUAACACAUGCAAGUCGAACGGCAGCACAGUAAGAGCUUGUUCUUACGGAUUGCGAGUGGCGGGCGGGUGAGGAAUACAUCGGAAUCUACUUUUUCGUGGGGGAGAACGUAGGGAAACUUACGCUAAUACCGCAUACGACCUACGGGUGAAAGCAGGGGAUCUUCGGACCUUGCGCGAUUGAAUGAGCCGAUGUCGGAUUAGUUAGUGGGCGGGGUAAAGGCCCACCAAGGCAACGAUCCGUAGCUGGUCUGAGAGGAUGGUCAGCCACACUGGAAGUGAGACACGGUCCAGACUCCUACGGGAGGCAGCAGUGGGGAAUAUUGGACAAAGGUCGCAAGCCUGAUCCAGCCAUACCGCGUGGGUGACGAAGGCGUCCGGGUUGUAAAGCCCUUUUGUUGGGAAAGAAAAGCUGCAGGUUAAUACCCAGCUGUUCUGACGGUACCCAAAGAAUAAGCACCGGCUAACUUCGUG
Molecule: ribosomal RNA, 492 nt
Filed under: uncultured bacterium
Lineage: Bacteria
Description: partial 16S ribosomal RNA
Rfam family: Bacterial small subunit ribosomal RNA
Source: RNAcentral